GUUUCUAUGGUGUAAUUGCACAUUAGAUUUUCAUUCUAAAGGGAUAAAGUUAUUUAUUAGAAACA
Molecule: transfer RNA, 65 nt
Filed under: Tritia tingitana
Lineage: Eukaryota; Metazoa; Mollusca; Gastropoda; Neogastropoda; Nassariidae
Description: tRNA-Glu
Rfam family: tRNA
About the family: Transfer RNA (tRNA) molecules are approximately 80 nucleotides in length. Their secondary structure includes four short double-helical elements and three loops (D, anti-codon, and T loops).
Source: RNAcentral